UCGGGAAUUUUGGGCAAUGGGCGAAAGCCUGACCCAGCAACGCCGCGUGAGUGAUGAAGGCCUUCGGGUUGUAAAGCUCUGUGGGGAGAGAAGAAUAAGUGCGGGCUAAUACCCCGCAUGAUGACGGUAUCUCCUUAGCAAGCACCGGCUAACUCUGUGCCAGCAGCCGCGGUAAGACAGAGGGUGCAAACGUUGUUCGGAAUUACUGGGCGUAAAGCGAGUGUAGGCGGUUUGGUAAGUCGGAUGUGAAAGCCCCGGGCUCAACCCGGGAAGUGCAUUCGAUACUGCCAAGCUAGAGUAUCGGAGAGGUUGGUGGAAUUCUCGGUGUAGAGGUGAAAUUCGUAGAUAUCGAGAGGAACACCGGUGGCGAAGGCGGCCAACUGGACGAAUACUGACGCUGAGACUCGAAAGCGUGGGGAGCAAACAGGAUUAGAUACCCCCGUAGUCCCUGAGCGGGCUGGCAAGGCGCAU
Molecule: ribosomal RNA, 471 nt
Filed under: uncultured bacterium
Lineage: Bacteria
Description: bacterial SSU rRNA
Rfam family: Bacterial small subunit ribosomal RNA
Source: RNAcentral